RNAcentral lists this ribosomal RNA (447 nucleotides) under uncultured bacterium. RNAcentral describes it as "bacterial SSU rRNA". It matches the Rfam family "Bacterial small subunit ribosomal RNA", at positions 29 to 524 of the family's 1533-position model. The record is from RNAcentral.
AACGAACGCUGGCGGCAGGCUUAACACAUGCAAGUCGAACGCCCCGCAAGGGGAGUGGCAGACGGGUGAGUAACACGUGGGAACGUGCCCUUCGCUUCGGGAUAGCCUCGGGAAACUGGGAGUAAUACCGAAUACGCCGUAUUGGGAAAGAUAUAUCGGCGAAGGAUCGGCCCGCGUUGGAUUAGCUAGUUGGCGGUGUAAUGGACCACCAAGGCUACGAUCCAUAGCUGGUCUGAGAGGACGACCAGCCACACUGGGACUGAGACACGGCCCAGACUCCUACGGGAGGCAGCAGUGGGGAAUCUUGGACAAUGGGCGCAAGCCUGAUCCAGCCAUGCCGCGUGAGUGAUGAAGGCCUUAGGGUUGUAAAGCUCUUUUACCCGAGAUGAUAAUGACAGUAUCGGGAGAAUAAGCUCCGGCUAACUCCGUGCCAGCAGCCGCGGUAAU